CCUACGGGAGGCUGCAGUGGGGAAUCUUGCGCAAUGGCCUGACGGCUGACGCAGCGACGCCGCGUGUGGGAGGACGCCCUUCGGGGUGUAAACCACUGUUGCCCGGGACGAACCGGACUAUUCGUAGUCCCUGACGGUACCGGGUGAGGAAGCACCGGCUAACUCCGUGCCAGCAGCCGCGGUAAUACGGAGGGUGCGAGCGUUGUCCGGAAUCACUGGGCGUAAAGGGCGCGUAGGUGGCACGGCAAGCGUGCGGUGAAAGCCCGGGGCUCAACUCCGGGUCGGCCGUGCGAACUGCGGUGCUGGAGCACGGUAGAGGCAGGUGGAAUUCCGGGUGUAGCGGUGGAAUGCGUAGAGAUCCGGAAGAACACCGGUGGCGAAGGCGGCCUGCUGGGCCGUGGCUGACACUGAGGCGCGACAGCGUGGGGAGCAAACAGGAU
This 440-nucleotide ribosomal RNA is filed under the name uncultured bacterium. RNAcentral's name for it is "bacterial SSU rRNA". It matches the Rfam family "Bacterial small subunit ribosomal RNA", at positions 338 to 778 of the family's 1533-position model. The record is from RNAcentral.